CCAAACCUUAAGACCUUUUCCUUUUCUUUCACAUCACCUUUAGGGUUAUUAACAUUAAACUAAACUCGGAAUGUUAACUAGAUAAUAUCAUUAUUAACAUAUACUUCAGGUAGUUAGUUAUAUAUUAGUUUAAUUUGCAUAGAUAAUCAUAUAUGGCGGUCAAUAAUUCGCAUAUCCAAUAAUCUUUUUUUAAUAUAAGCACUAAUGGAAUAUAUUGUAAUUUGUCUAGUAAAUGUUCAUCAAUUAAAAUUGUAAGCUAAAGAGGCAUGUAGCGAUGAAAACCCAGCUAAAUUGUUAUAUUUUUAGAUAAAUUAUUAAACAAAAAUUAGAUUUAAAAAUGUUUUCUUUUAAUAAUAAGGGAUAUUAUAAUACUAAUGCAACAUCCUCAAUAUUUUGGAUAACAAACACAUACAAAAUCAAUGCGAGCCGGUGGUAAAGGUACGCAUUUUCCACCAGAGAAAUCUGAUUCAACGCAAGUCUGAUUGCAGUGUAGAAACUGAUAGCAUGUACCUAUCACGAUCGGUCUCCCUUUACCUUGAGCUUUUGCAAAUUCUGCAAUAUAUGUUGUUUACAAAUAAUAUAGUGUAGUAAUUAGAAGCAUAAAAAUCCUUAAACAUGGAUCUCUUUCUCUAAAUUGUAAUGCAUUAUUCUGAUAUAUUGUAGCAAUAAAAACGUAUAUAGUAUGCACGGGCACAUAUAUAAGACGAUUAUAUAAUAUCGCAUAGAAAAUACAAUUUUAUAAUUUAAAUUACAUACCUGGAAUCAAGAGAACAGUGAGACAUAAGAACACAAGAAAAAUACAGUUACGGGUUAAAGCCAUUUUCAUCAUCCUUUUGUUUUUGCUAACGAAAGUAAAUAGGUGCUUACUUUUUAUAUACAUAGAAUGUUUGGAUUUAUGUUUUACUUGUACGAUAUACAGGAUAAGAUAAUAUCUGUUUUUGACCGAGACUAUUUGCUUUUUCUUUGUUUGUCGGCGAAACUUCCAUUAAGAAAAAAAGAGAUUGCGACUCAAAAUUUUAUUUUUUUAAAUAUAAAAUUAUACCCAAAUUUGAAUAAUUACAAAACUAACUAAAAGACUUAUGAAAUUAAAUCAAUUUCUUUGUGACCAAACAAAAAAAUCAAAACUCAUUUUUACGAAUAUAACCCCAAAAAAUCUUAUAAGUUUUCUGAGAAACUGUACAUAGAUGUCAAAGAAGUCUUAUGACAUAGUUGAUCUUAAAAUAAUUUAUAAAUUUCGUAAAGAAUAUUUUGAUAAGUAAAAAAUUAAAAUCAUGUAAUUAUUCAUAGUUUUAAGUGAUAUAAAUUAAGAUAUAUUAACAUUUAAUUAUUUUCAACAUAGAUGAGUGAAAGUAGUGAAUCAUGAUAUUUUUUGUCUAGGGUUUGACAAUAUUAUUUGUUGUAUUAUAUAUAUUUUUAUGGUUAGAUUUUGAAAACCUUAAAUGCUUUUUCGAAAAAUGAAAAUUUUACCCAUAUGAAUUUAUUUUUGAUUAUAGUAAGCACUCUUAUAAAUUUUAUUUGAUUUUAUGCAGUGUUUAGUUAGUCAAUUUAUUUAGGAUUUAUAUUUAAGGUCCAGAGAAGUCGUCCAAACCGUACAUAAUAUUAUUCCCGCCUAAAAUUUUAAGAAAUUUUAUUUUCCCGCAUAAAUAUUAUUUUAUCUAAAAAAUUUAAAAAAAUUAAAAAUUAAAAAUUUACAUAAUAAUAAUUUUUUACUAAAAUAAAACUGAAAAUCUAAUAAUAAAUCAUGAAUCCUUGUUCUUAAAAAAAAAAAACCCUAGUUCUCUCAACUUAUCCCCUCUCUCCCGUGCCUCUCUCUCUCUCUCUCUCUCUCACACCGGAGCUACAAGCCAAACCUUAAGACCUUUUCCUUCUCUUUCUCUCUAUGGCUUCUUUUCUCUCUGCCCAAAUCUCCGCUGGCAGUACUCAGCCCUCUGCUCUUUAUUUCUCCAGCCUCGCCGCACUUGCCCCAAGCUCGGCCCCGCUGUCUCCUUCUCCCACCGCGUCAACUCCUCUGUCUCCUUCGACCUCCAUUCUUACUGACCUCUUCGGAGGGCUCCACAUCUUUAGCCAUCGUUCUUCAUCAGUCUUCAAAUCAUGACGAACUCUUCAUGCAGCAAGACUCUUCAAUUCUCACAAACUCUCAAGGUUUGAUCCUUCUCUCUCUUUUUGUGGCAGGCUUAUGCUCUGUUGUGUGGGAUUGAUGAGAGGCUCAUAAGGAAGGAUAUUCCCAUGUUCGACUCUCUUCCUCUGUCAUCUUUUCCAUGCAGUAUUCCAGAGUAAGUUAUAACACAAGAAGGAAGUCUUUCUGAAAGUCGACGCCGCCGUCUCCUCCGGCCUCCGCCGCAUCAACUCCUCUAUCCGUCUUGUUUCUUCCUUGCAUCGGUCUCCUAGAGAUGCUAUGCCUAGCUGGGACAAGGUAGUGGUAGCAUACGAGCCAGUAUGGGAAUUGGAACUGGUAAAGAUGCUGUGCAAUCCAGAAACAAGAGAGACCUUUGUAUUGAUCUUUGUAUCAUUUUUAUCAGAUUCAUACUUUUGUAUUUUAAUCAUAAGUUGUCAAACUGUUGUAUAUAGAAGCUUGUCUUAGCCUUGUAUUUGAUGAUUGUGCAAAUACAAGCAGUUUCCAUUAAAGUUCAUUGUUAUGCUGAAUAAUGUUGUGUUGAAAAUUGUUGUGUUGCAGUUGGUGCCUGGUUACUGUCUGGUUUUUGCUAGUGGUGCCUAUCGUUUUUGCUAGUGAUGCCAUUUUGACAUUGACACUGGUUACAAGAGACAUGAAGUGUUUGGUUUCAGACAGCAUAUUUGUAGGGGUUCAGAUGGAAGCAAGUUGCAGAGAUAGUGAAAGUAAAGAGCUGAGACCGGAGACAAGGCAACUGAGUGUGGUGGGUGCGGGUAGAAUUGCGGUCAGAAGCUCUUUCAUUUGGUAUAAAAGAUGCUCGAAGCAAACAUCAAAUGAGUGUGGUGUUUAUGGUCAAAUGCUUUUGCAUGAUUGUAACAAGUCUCAUUUGGUAUAAAAGAUGAUAUUUUUUAGUUUUUCGUUAUCAAAUACAUUUCAUUUUCAUUUGCACGAUAACAUUA
Long non-coding RNA from Brassica napus (rape), 3069 nucleotides. RefSeq lists it as uncharacterized. The record is from RefSeq and is a predicted model, not a curated record. NCBI's taxonomy places the organism in Eukaryota, Viridiplantae, Streptophyta, Magnoliopsida, Brassicales, Brassicaceae. The transcript has 3 exons.